Molecule: long non-coding RNA, 1301 nt
Organism: Raphanus sativus (radish)
Lineage: Eukaryota; Viridiplantae; Streptophyta; Magnoliopsida; Brassicales; Brassicaceae
Exons: 3
Source: RefSeq, a predicted model, not a curated record
UAUUUAAUGGGUUGUCGACUAUGUAUGUCAGAGUUCGUUGGAAAAGAGAUGGGAUUCUGUAGGAGGCCUCAGAGACAUAGCAUAUGGAUUAUUCAGAGAUUUGUUACGUUGAUAAUGAGGAAUAAACAGAAAACUCGAAUUCGAGGACGAAUUCAUUUUAAGUGGGGGAGAAUUGUAACGAUCCAAUUCCGGUUACAGAAAUUGUUAGCAUGCUAAGGAUCGAACGCUUAUACAAGGGCUCAAUAAUUUGAGUAUAAAAGCCUCUUCACCACCUUGUUUUCUCAGAAACAUCAAGAAAAGAAGAAAAAGAAAUAGAAGUUGGAGAUAGAGAGAGAGAAAGAGAACGAGAGAGAGAAGAGGUGAAAAGUGCACCACCUGAUUUCGUCACCAGAGCCACCGCACGCCAAGACCAAGUUGAGCUCAUCGCCACCAUUCACCGCAGCCCAGAAUUGUCGGAAACCACCAUGCAAUCAAGCUUAGUUUCGUCCGUUUAGUAAAUCGACCAUAACUCUCUAACCGUCGCGAAUUUCGUGCAUGCAAGACCACCAUCGCGUUCCUCUCGUCGAGACGAAUCCGUAGCCACCAGAAUCGCCGCAAUCGGAGCUCGGACGAAGCCGUACGCACCCUCCGAAGUUUCGCCGGAAAUCGCCAACGCACCACCGGACCACCGCUGCUCCGCCGUAGUUCGCCACCGUCGCCGCCGCCGGAACACCGCUUCUCCGCUGCCGGACCGCCGUUGCCGCCGAUUUGGAGUCUAUUUGAGCAUCUGGAGUUCAUAGAUACCACUUCUCUACAUUUUCUAAGGUGAGACAAGCAUCAAUGUGAUAUUUGGACGGACUCGGUGCUAUUGGACUCUUCCUUCGGAUUUUAUUUUGGGCAUGGGCUGAGAGUAUAGUUAGGUGUAUGGCCUUUUGUAUUAUGUGUUAUGGUUGGUGGCCCGUCGUUCACAAUAUUGUGGAGACUGGUGUCACAUUAUUAUUUGUUGAGGUGUCGGUUGACAUGUGGCCAUUUAGUUAGAAAGUGACGGGUGUCACAUUUUACUUUUGUGUUCUUCUUGGAUUUUCUAUGAUAGAGCAAACACACAAAGAAGAGACUUCCUUUGAGAAAGUUUAAACCCUUUAAGAUUGACUUUUGGUUACUUUUUGUGUACCUUUGAGGUUUCCUUUUGUGAUUUCACUGUUUGUUUGUUAUGUGCUAUAUUGACAUUUGCCAUUUUCAUACAUCCUUUUUAACUUUUGUUCUCGUUGAACUUUGCAUUAUUAAUACACUACAUAGUUAUCACAUUCAUCUUUUUGUGUGCU